ACGAUUUGUAUUACUCUCUCUCUCUCUCUCUCUCAAUCUUUCAAUUAUCGUUUGAAAACCCUAAAAAAACAUCCUCUACCUCUCUCUCUCUCUCAAUACGAUGGGCGACAUCAUCUUCUAGAAGAUCCGAUCAUCUAAUCAACGAUUUCGAUCAUUGCAACAUUAUCUUCUUGAAGAUUCGUUCAUCUAAUCGAUGAUAAACUGAUAAAACCCACAAAUCGCUAUAGGAAUUUGCCGCCCUUCAUUCAAAUUUCUUCAGAUUCUUGAACAAUUGAGUUAUUGUGUUUUCAUCACUUCAAAUCUUUAAUGGAUAGUUAUUGUGUUUUCAUCACUUCAAAUCUUUAAUGGAUGCUGACAGGUUGAAUUCACCACAGACCUCAGCUGUUUUAUUUGAAGUUAUGGGAUACCUGUUACAAUUUUGAGGUAAAUUGACGAUGCUGGUGGUGAUGGAAGACGUCCAAUUCCUCCAAUUUGAGCCGAAACUGGUAAGAUAUUGUAUGCAUUGCCAAGCACAUGUUAAGGGAUUUGACCACCGUGGCUCUUGGAAAUUGUAUAGGCUUUGGCGCCAUUGUCCCAAAAAGUGACCAACACAUGCAUCCAACAAAAAUAUAACGUACACAAGGGUGGGCGGAUUUUGAGUUGAAGACAUGUAGGAUUGCCUUAGUAAUAUACCGGUUAUGAUAUGCUGCUUUUAUUUAUUAAAUUUUGUAACUUGGUAAUAAUAUUUGAAUUCUAUGUUAUGUGUGACAAUUUAAUAUUGAUGCUUUAAAUAUUUAAACUUA
This is a long non-coding RNA of Helianthus annuus (common sunflower), 782 nucleotides long. RefSeq lists it as uncharacterized. The transcript has 7 exons. NCBI's taxonomy places the organism in Eukaryota, Viridiplantae, Streptophyta, Magnoliopsida, Asterales, Asteraceae. The record is from RefSeq and is a predicted model, not a curated record.